AGUGAACGCUGGCGGUAGGCCUAACACAUGCAAGUCGAACGGCAGCACAGUAAGAGCUUGCUCUUACGGGUGGCGAGUGGCGGACGGGUGAGGAAUACAUCGGAAUCUACUUUUUCGUGGGGGAUAACGUAGGGAAACUUACGCUAAUACCGCAUACGACCUACGGGUGAAAGCAGGGGAUCUUCGGACCUUGCGCGAUUGAAUGAGCCGAUGUCGGAUUAGCUAGUUGGCGGGGUAAAGGCCCACCAAGGCGACGAUCCGUAGCUGGUCUGAGAGGAUGAUCAGCCACACUGGAACUGAGACACGGUCCAGACUCCUACGGGAGGCAGCAGGGGAAUAUUGGACAAUGGGCGCAAGCCUGAUCCAGCCAUACCGCGUGGGUGAAGAAGGCCUUCGGGUUGUAAAGCCCUUUUGUUGGGAAAGAAAAGCAGCAGGUUAAUACCCCGCUGUUCUGACGGUACCCAAAGAAUAAGCACCGGCUAACUUCGUG
RNAcentral lists this ribosomal RNA (490 nucleotides) under uncultured bacterium. Its description in RNAcentral is "partial 16S ribosomal RNA". It matches the Rfam family "Bacterial small subunit ribosomal RNA", at positions 29 to 507 of the family's 1533-position model. The record is from RNAcentral.